CAUUUUUCUAACAAAGUUUAGCAUAAUCAUUGACAACCUUAUGUUAAAGAAACUAACUUUUUGCCACACGAAACACAAAAGGCAUUUCGGAAAAGCAAUCACAUGAAGGCAGUAGAGUUGUGCACCAAACUAUAUGGGAUAACAUCGAUGUAACAAAAAAUGAAAGACUUCUAUGCAGUAAAUGAUGGACGAUGUAAGCAUAAUCAUAGCUAACUUUUCAGAAGAUGAGAACAAAGGCAUUAGAGGCAAGAGAAGCAUAUCAAGUGAAGUUAUGGAAGAAAAUCAAUUGGAUGCAGGGCAUAGUAUACCUAUGCACCAAACUAAAAGGGAUAACAUUCAUUUAACGAAAGCUGAAAGACUAUAUGUGCAGUAAAACUCGUACUCAAACGAUGGAUGAUUCUAACUUACUAAGCAUGUCUGGAAUCAGAACACUCAAUUCAAACACGACCCUCAACUCGAUUAAGUAAUCACUUGCAACCUUGUAUUCAUCACCAACUUUUCGACACACAGAAAAAGAAGGAAUUUGGGAAAAGGUUUUGCAUAUCAACUAUCAAGUGACAGAUAUGGAAGCACCGAACGAAGAAGGAUAGCAUUUGCUGUAAUGAAACCUGAAAGACUUCCUAGCAACAAUGCUUACCAAAGCAUAUUUCGGAUCAAAACACUUGAUUCACACACGAUUCUCAUCUCAAUUAGGUACACAUAGGACAAGUCUGAACAGAACGGCAGGUUAGUCGAAGUCCCAAAACAGACUGCAACUAUCACCAAAGUGCAACUUAUAGAAUUCAAGACUUUUGAGAUCAGAUAAACAAAGUGCAACAUACAACUAGCAUAUCUGAUAAGUUUUGAAAAUGACUGCAAGUUAGGUGAGUCACAAGUACAUUCAUCUGCCAUCAAACAAAGCAAAUUGCAAGUCAAGGAAUCCAAGACAUUUGAGAUCAUAAAACUUAGCAGCAACCACAUCCCCACAGCCAACAAAAGAGGCCUUUUUCUUCUUCUUUUCAAAAACCCUAAUCAACAAAAUCCACCAAAGAAAAACACACCACUUCCAUACCGCACUCAUCAAAGUCUCAAGCUUUCCCCCAAACCCAAAACAAUCAAGACUCCACAGUCCAAACCAGCUGACACUGACAAACAGAAUCUCAUCACAUAGAGCAAACAAGCCAAGCAAUUGAAAGGUGGAAGUAAAAGGGACGGAGAGAGAAAGAGAGAGAGAGAGGGAAAGAGAGAAUUAGGGAUUGUUUACCAGCUUCCUGCCCUGAAGAGUUCUGGGGAGAAUUAUCUUGUGGAAGUAAGGCCUUGACGGCAUAAUUUCUUUUUGGUGUUAUUUCGGCGACUUUAUUGGGUGGGUUGUAAUUAUAGUGAUGGAGAAGUGAAGAAAGAUAGCGAGAGGGGGAAAUGGGUCAAUCAGAUCAUGAUGAUAAGACCACCAGCCCCAAUCUGAAAGAGAAAGGCGACAGAAAGAAAGAAAAGAGAAAGAUAUUGAAAGUUUUUGUCUCAGAUCUACAGCAGCUGCUCCAUCACCAAUAACUACUCUUCUUCCUCCUCCUCUCUCACUUUACAGAGUUACAGUCAAAGAACAGUGCUUUGCUACUGCUACUGCUACUGCUUUAAAAACCUUAACAAACGUUAGCUUGACCUAAAAAAAAGUAGUUGAACGAGUUGAGUUUUGCUUUCCCUGGCCUGGUUUUUGGUUUUUCCAAGCGACUCAGUUGGCUGACUCGGAUAUCAGAAUCCCUUGCAUAAAUUUAUUGAUUAAUUGAUUGAUGUCUUCUUGUGUUAUUUUCUUCUUCUUGGUGGGGGGGGGUUGCUUUUUGUUUUUAUUUUUUAAUCAUUUUCUUGUGUUUAUCCUCGUGACUUGCACGUGCAAUCUGGUACAACAGCCGGGUCGGACUUUGGUUGGACGGUUGACUCAAAUGCUAUGACAAAAUUCUGCGGGCCUCGGAUGCUACUUCAAGUCCGGGUACACUCUCUAUUUACACUGAUUCUGUCGAAUUAACAGGUUGCUCAACUCUUUGAAUGUUGCCUCCUUCUCACUGUCAUUCUACAAAAGCUGAAAGCCUAUAUGCACAGUAAAACCGGUACUCAAACGAUGGAUGAUUCUAACUUACUAAGCAUGUCUGGAAUCAGAACACUCAAUUCAAACACGACCCUCAACUCGAUUAAGUAAUCACUUGCAACCUUGUAUUCAUCACCAACUUUUCGACACACAGAAAAAGAAGGAAUUUGGGAAAAGGUUUUGCAUAUCAACUAUCACCAAAGGCAUAAGAGGAAGAGAAGCAUUUCAAGUGAAGUUAUGGAAGAAAAGCAAUCGGAUGCAGGGCAAAGUAUACCUAUGCACCAAACUAAAAGAGAUAACAUUCAUUUAACGAAAGCUGAAAGACUAUAUGCACAGUAAAACCGGUACUCAAACGAUGGAUGAUUCUAACUUACUAAGCAUGUCUGGAAUCAGAACACUCAAUUCAAACACGACCCUCAACUCGAUUAAGUAAUCACUUGCAACCUUGUAUUCAUCACCAACUUUUCGACACACAGAAAAAGAAGGAAUUUGGGAAAAGGUUUUGCAUAUCAACUAUCACCAAAGGCAUAAGAGGAAGAGAAGCAUUUCAAGUGAAGUUAUGGAAGAAAAGCAAUCGGAUGCAGGGCAAAGUAUACCUAUGCACCAAACUAAAAGAGAUAACAUUCAUUUAACGAAAGCUGAAAGACUAUAUGCACAGUAAAACCGGUACUCAAACGAUGGAUGAUUCUAACUUACUAAGCAUGUCUGGAAUCAGAACACUCAAUUCAAACACGACCCUCAACUCGAUUAAGUAAUCACUUGCAACCUUGUAUUCAUCACCAACUUUUCGACACACAGAAAAAGAAGGAAUUUGGGAAAAGGUUUUGCAUAUCAACUAUCAAGUGACAGAUAUGGAAGCACCGAACGAAGAAGGAUAGCAUUUGCUGUAAUGAAACCUGAAAGACUUCCUAGCAACAAUGCUUACCAAAGCAUAUUUCGGAUCAAAACACUUGAUUCACACACGAUUCUCAUCUCAAUUAGGUACACAUAGGACAAGUCUGAACAGAACGGCAGGUUAGUCGAAGUCCCAAAACAGACUGCAACUAUCACCAAAGUGCAACUUAUAGAAUUCAAGACUUUUGAGAUCAGAUAAACAAAGUGCAACAUACAACUAGCAUAUCUGAUAAGUUUUGAAAAUGACUGCAAGUUAGGUGAGUCACAAGUACAUUCAUCUGCCAUCAAACAAAGCAAAUUGCAAGUCAAGGAAUCCAAGACAUUUGAGAUCAUAAAACUUAGCAGCAACCACAUCCCCACAGCCAACAAAAGAGGCCUUUUUCUUCUUCUUUUCAAAAACCCUAAUCAACAAAAUCCACCAAAGAAAAACACACCACUUCCAUACCGCACUCAUCAAAGUCUCAAGCUUUCCCCCAAACCCAAAACAAUCAAGACUCCACAGUCCAAACCAGCUGACACUGACAAACAGAAUCUCAUCACAUAGAGCAAACAAGCCAAGCAAUUGAAAGGUGGAAGUAAAAGGGACGGAGAGAGAAAGAGAGAGAGAGAGGGAAAGAGAGAAUUAGGGAUUGUUUACCAGCUUCCUGCCCUGAAGAGUUCUGGGGAGAAUUAUCUUGUGGAAGUAAGGCCUUGACGGCAUAAUUUCUUUUUGGUGUUAUUUCGGCGACUUUAUUGGGUGGGUUGUAAUUAUAGUGAUGGAGAAGUGAAGAAAGAUAGCGAGAGGGGGAAAUGGGUCAAUCAGAUCAUGAUGAUAAGACCACCAGCCCCAAUCUGAAAGAGAAAGGCGACAGAAAGAAAGAAAAGAGAAAGAUAUUGAAAGUUUUUGUCUCAGAUCUACAGCAGCUGCUCCAUCACCAAUAACUACUCUUCUUCCUCCUCCUCUCUCACUUUACAGAGUUACAGUCAAAGAACAGUGCUUUGCUACUGCUACUGCUACUGCUUUAAAAACCUUAACAAACGUUAGCUUGACCUAAAAAAAAGUAGUUGAACGAGUUGAGUUUUGCUUUCCCUGGCCUGGUUUUUGGUUUUUCCAAGCGACUCAGUU
RNAcentral lists this long non-coding RNA (4055 nucleotides) under Linum usitatissimum (flax). Its description in RNAcentral is "long non-coding RNA (LUSI_LNC008224)". The record is from RNAcentral. Lineage: Eukaryota; Viridiplantae; Streptophyta; Magnoliopsida; Malpighiales; Linaceae.